RNAcentral lists this ribosomal RNA (321 nucleotides) under uncultured Entrophospora. Its description in RNAcentral is "SSU rRNA". It matches the Rfam family "Eukaryotic small subunit ribosomal RNA", at positions 569 to 887 of the family's 1831-position model. The record is from RNAcentral. Lineage: Eukaryota; Fungi; Glomeromycota; Glomeromycetes; Entrophosporales; Entrophosporaceae.
AGCAGCCGCGGUAAUUCCAGCUCCAAUAGCGUAUAUUAAAGUUGUUGCAGUUAAAAAGCUCGUAGUUGAAUUUCGGGAUUGGCGCAUCGGUCGUGCCUUACGGGGUAUGAACUGGUGCAGUCAAUUUCUCACCUUCUGGAGAACCGCGAUGUCCUUAAUUGGGUGCCGCGGGGAACCAGGACCUUUACUUUGAAAAAAUUAGAGUGUUUAAAGCAGGCAUUUUUGCUUGAAUACAUUAGCAUGGAAUAAUAAAAUAGGACGGCAUGGUUCUAUUUUGUUGGUUUCUAGGACCACCGUAAUGAUUAAUAGGGAUAGUUGGGG